GAACAGCUGAUUGACUGCACACAGUGCACAUGCUAUUUAGUGUUAGACCUUUAAUUUUUUUAAGGAUUUUGUGUGCUGUUCUGUUCGUUUUGUAAUUGUUUUAAUAAUAAUUAAUCAACUAAAUAAAAUAAUACGAGUAGUGAGGAUGAACACGUUUUUGUAAACCUGGAGCAUCCAAAGAAAAGAAAGAAGAAUGCAUCUGAAUUGAAGAGAAACAAGGCUAAACUAAAGCGAUAUUCUGGGGAAGAAAAAAAUCCAGAUGCCACAAACUGUGUUUAACUUGCAAAGAAAAGGGAUUUACUUGGACUUUUAACAGCCAUGGGACAAAAUGACAAUACGGAUAAUAAGGAAUUUACAACCCAAUUUGUGCUGUGGAUGAUCUCACGGACACAGAUGAAAGCGACAAGGAAGAUGAGGCCACUGUAUAUACCAAUGAGGAUGCAUGGUGAAUCUGUAAAUCACCCUGGUUGUGGUUUGGAUGGAGAAAAAUAUACAUUUUCAAAACAUUUUUUACCAUUAAUUAAUAUAAUUGGUGCUAUUCCAGUUUUAAUUCAAUUUAUUCAUGUGCUUUUACUUUCUUGUCAUGUCAGCUUAAGUUGUUGGCAAAGGGGUGGGGGGGGGUAAUAUAGUGAAUCUGUGAAUCAUCCUGGUUUGGGUGUUAUGUUUUAAUGUAAUUUUCUAAAAUAAUUUCUGCCAAUAAUUUGAUUGAUUGGUGAUUCAACUCAGUUUUAUUUUUGUUUUUACCUUAUCGUGUCGGCAUAAUUUGUGGGGAGAGGCCAGCAUAAUUUGUGGGGAGAGGGGGCAGCAUAAUUUGUAGGGAGGGGUAAGAGACAAUUUGUAAGAUGUAUUAUGUAAAAUGAUCCUGUAUUGAGUAGAAUAACUGAUGCUAUUUAAAUCAUUAUCAAUGUAAUUACUUCUUGUGUUUAAAAUUUGUAUAGACUUUUGUUUAUCUACACACCUAUGAUGAAGUGGGGGAGGGGGAUAUAAUAUUUUCUUAAUUACCCUAAGUGACUUGUAUGACAUUUAUUGGUGCUAAUAAACUCUUUUAAUACUUAAAA
Molecule: long non-coding RNA, 1058 nt
Organism: Anneissia japonica
Lineage: Eukaryota; Metazoa; Echinodermata; Crinoidea; Comatulida; Comatulidae
Exons: 2
Source: RefSeq, a predicted model, not a curated record